Molecule: ribosomal RNA, 228 nt
Filed under: uncultured bacterium
Lineage: Bacteria
Description: partial 16S ribosomal RNA
Rfam family: Bacterial small subunit ribosomal RNA
Source: RNAcentral
UCCGUAGGCGGGCGUCUAAGUCAGUGGUGAAAUCUUACAGCUCAACUGUAAAAUUGCCAUUGAUACUGGAUGUCUUGAAUUAGUGUGAAGUGGUUAGAAUGUGUAGUGUAGCGGUGAAAUGCAUAGAUAUUACACAGAAUACCAAUUGCGAAGGCAGAUCACUAACACUAUAUUGACGCUGAGGGACGAAAGCGUGGGGAGCGAACAGGAUUAGAUACCCUGGUAGUC